GUGGAUAUAGCUCAGUUGGUACAGUGCUUGCAUCACAUGCACAAGGCCCUGGAUUCAAUCCCCAGCACCACA
This 72-nucleotide transfer RNA is filed under the name Marmota monax (woodchuck). RNAcentral's name for it is "tRNA.Val". Lineage: Eukaryota; Metazoa; Chordata; Mammalia; Rodentia; Sciuridae. The record is from RNAcentral.